UGGCUGGACGAAUUCGUUAGAUACAACUCAGGCAUCUGAAGAAAGUGAUAAUUUACGUCGAAACGUUUUGAUCUUGCUGGGUCAAAUGUCACAAAAAGAAGACUUGAUAAUUGCGAAUCAGGAAAACAUUUUGGAUUAGCUAGGUUACAAUAGUUACGAUCAAGAACGAUUCAACCGAAGGUUUCAAAAUCGAUACGAGAAAAACAGCAAAUUGCUGCAUCUGGACCGCCACCACGUCCGCCGAAAGAAAUGUGGCCUACAGCUCCAGCUUCAGGCAAUCAUCAUCAUUUCGGGAACAGAUUCUAGCCUCUUCACAAUGUUCCAUGCAAAGGAUAUUCUGCUUUCUGCAAGACCCAGAGUGGUAAGGAAGCAAACUGCACUGUCCCAUACAGAGUAAUCGACAAUCCUGCCAAAUUGCCUGCCACACGUGUUGUGAGAGUUUUCGUCUGGGGACCAGCUAGGCAAUUUAAAGGAUGGCCACGGAAUGGUAGUCGGGUUAAAAUAUUUUCGAAAAUUGUGCAUUUUACUUGCGAGGAAAUGGAGGAAAUUAAAUUGGAUACGAAUGUUGCACACUGGUCUGUAAACGUAUUGAAUUUAUCACGGACUGAACGACAUUUGGAUCGAGCAGUGUUAAUUACAUUUUCGCAAAGCCUGGACAUUGCAAAAAGUAAAAACUAACUUCGAUUCUGAUUUUAUCAAUACAUUGUAUACAUUCAAUCGCCCAAUUUUAGAUAGUUUGUUUAGAUAGUUGAAGUGAAUAUAAUUAGAGAACUAUAUUUGUACAGUCUUUUUCAUUAAGAAUUACUACUACUAAAAAUUCUACAAGAUCUACAAUGAUACAUUUUGCUGAUAAAAUUAAGCAUUUAUUUCAUUUGAUACACAGUAUUGAAAUGUCGAUUAUCCAUUGCCUGAAGACAGAUAGGGCACUUAUUAUUUAUUGAUAAUGUGCGCAAUAGACACUGACGGCAAAAUAAAUGCCCACAAACGGUUGCCACUGGAUCUGAGAAUUUCGUUUCCAAACAAAUCGGACACCCAUUCCCCAUGUAUAUGUACUGCAA
Molecule: long non-coding RNA, 1058 nt
Organism: Bradysia coprophila
Lineage: Eukaryota; Metazoa; Arthropoda; Insecta; Diptera; Sciaridae
Source: RefSeq, a predicted model, not a curated record